CCUACGGGGGGCAGCAGUGGGGAAUAUUGGACAAUGGGGGCAACCCUGAUCCAGCCAUGCCGCGUGUGUGAAGAAGGCCCUCGGGUUGUAAAGCACUUUCAGUGAGGAAGAACGCCUGGUGGUUAAUACCCAUCAGGAAAGACAUCACUCACAGAAGAAGCACCGGCUAACUCCGUGCCAGCAGCCGCGGUAAUACGGAGGGUGCGAGCGUUAAUCGGAAUUACUGGGCGUAAAGCGCGCGUAGGUGGCUUGAUAAGCCGGUUGUGAAAGCCCCGGGCUCAACCUGGGAACGGCAUCCGGAACUGUCUAGCUAGAGUGUAGGAGAGGAAGGUAGAAUUCCCGGUGUAGCGGUGAAAUGCGUAGAGAUCGGGAGGAAUACCAGUGGCGAAGGCGGCCUUCUGGACUGACACUGACACUGAGGUGCGAAAGCGUGGGUAGCAAACAGGAUUAGAUACCCUAGUAGUC
RNAcentral lists this ribosomal RNA (465 nucleotides) under Vreelandella stevensii. RNAcentral describes it as "partial 16S ribosomal RNA". It matches the Rfam family "Bacterial small subunit ribosomal RNA", at positions 338 to 795 of the family's 1533-position model. Lineage: Bacteria; Pseudomonadati; Pseudomonadota; Gammaproteobacteria; Oceanospirillales; Halomonadaceae. The record is from RNAcentral.